GGAUUAGGCAUGCAAGUCGAACGAGGGGAGUACCUUCGSGAAAGGGGUGCCAAMCCGAAGUKGGCGUAAGGGUGAGUAAUGCAUUGAUAACCUACCUUUGGGAUGAGGGAUAACAACGUUUCAAGUAAUUGAAAUUACCGAAAGGGGUUGCUAAUACUCAAUAAAACUAUUGUUGCUUUGGUGGCGAUAGUCAAAUAGGCGGAGUCGAAAGGCUCCAUUUGCUCAGAGAGGGGUCAAUGUCCUAUCAGCUAGUUGGUAGGGUAAUGGCCUACCAAGGCGAAGACGGGUAGCCGGCCUGAGAGGGUGGUCGGCCACACUGGGACUGAGACACUGCCCAGACUCCUACGGGAGGCUGCAGUCGAGAAUCUUUCGCAAUGCCCGAAAGGGUGACGAAGCGACGCCGCGUGUGGGAAGAAGGCCUUCGGGUUGUAAACCACUGUCGGGAGUUAAGAAAUGCAAGGAUGUUAAUAGUGUCUUUGCUUGACUAAGGCUCCGGAGGAAGCCACGGCUAACUCUGUGCCAGCAGCCGCGGUAAUACAGAGGCGGCAAGCGUUGUUUGGAAUUAUUGGGCGUAAAGAGCACGUAGGCGGCUAUGUAAGUCGGUUGUGAAAGCCUUCCGCUCAACGGAAGAACAGCAUCCGAUACUGCAUGGCUUGAGUGCGGGAGGGGAGAGUGGAACUUCUGGUGGAGCGGUGAAAUGCGUAGAUAUCAGAAGGAACGCCGGCGGCGAAAGCGACUCUCUGGCCCAUAACUGACGCUGAGUGUGCGAAAGCUAGGGGAGCAAACGAUUAGAUACCCCGGUAGUCCUAGCCGUAAACGAUGGGCACUAAGUAGAGGGGUUUU
Molecule: ribosomal RNA, 843 nt
Filed under: uncultured Planctomycetota bacterium
Lineage: Bacteria; Pseudomonadati; Planctomycetota
Description: bacterial SSU rRNA
Rfam family: Bacterial small subunit ribosomal RNA
Source: RNAcentral